AGGGAGGACAAGAAGCCCUUUCUGGUUGUGCAGCCCAGGACAAAUCCCUACAGCCUUCUGAGAAGCUCUGGCAGUAACCUGGGGCUGUCAGACAGAGGACUGGUAUUCUUUCCUCCAUCUCGCCAAUGAAGAAACUGAGGCCCAGGGAAAAGAAGUAAUUUGCCCAAGGUCGAACACCUGGUUGGAGUGCAGUGGUGCCAUCUCCCUUCACGACGAACUCCACCCCCCAUCCCCAGGAUCAAGCGAUCCUCCCACCUCAGCCUCCCAGAGCUGGGACCACAGACGCGUGCCACCACGCCCAGGUACAGCGCAGUCAGCAGGAAGCAGCCACCCCCCAGGGCGAUGACAAAGGCGCAGCACAGGAAGCUCUGCUGCAGGCUGAGGAAGCGCUGCAGGUAGGAGUCAGGGCGCCUGGCCCGCAGGACACUAGAGAUCUGCAGAGGAGCAGGGGUGGGUCUGCCAGGCCCACCAGGCUGGCCCCCAGGCCCUCCCCACCCCACACACGCAGACACGUCUUACAAGUCCUGUGAGAUAGGGGCUGCCAGCGUCUCCCAGGAUGUGGCCCACCGUGAUCUGAAGUGCCUCUGCUGUCCCCCGGCAUCUGGGCACCACCACAGACUGCAAAACAUAGGCACAGCAGGGGGGCACCCCAAGUGAGGGCACCCUUGCCUGCUGUUCCCCACCUGCCAAGGACCUGCCUGGAGGAGUGACAGGCCAUUCAGGUGAGUGGGAUGGGAGGGAGUCGACGGUCCCCAAGGUCUGAAGUCCCACCCCAGAACAUCAAGCCCAUCUGAAGCUUCCCCAGUGCCCCAGGAUGGGGGUGCCAAGGCCUCUGAUCAGGGCCACCCCUCUUGAGAGUUUGCUCUUGAACUGGGAAGGAACCAAGCAUGCAUGUGACCACAGUGAAUGAGGCUGGGGUGUCCCAGCUCAGGGGCCCACGAUGCAGCAGCGCAAGCGGGCAGGGCGAAGAGCGGGUGCAUGCCAGGUGUCUGCAAUUGGGCAAGGGUGGUACGGAGGGCUCAGUCCUCUCAGGAACCUCAAGGCCCCUGGGGCAGAGACCAAAGGCAGCCUUGCUGGAGAAGCCCACACGACUCCACGGACAAGGCUGAGAACAUUAAGAAGAUGAACUCUGGGCCAGGCGCGGUGGCUCACGUCUGUAAUCCCAGCACUUUGGGAGGCCGAGGCGGGUGGAUCACCCGAGGUCAAGAGGUCAAGACCAGCCUGGCAACAUGGUGAAACCCUGUCUCUACUAAAAAUACAAAAACUAGCCGGCGUGGUGGCACAUGCCUGUAAUCCCAGCUACUCGGGAGGUUGAGGCAGGAGAAUUGCUUGAACACAGGAGGCAGAGGUUGCAGUGAGCUGAGAUCGUACCACUGCAAUCCAACCUGGGCAACAAGAGCAAAAUCCCAUCUCAAAAAAAAAAAAAAAAAGAAAGAACUCUGGUGUCACACUCUCGGGUUCCGAUCCAGAUCCCCACUCGCUAGCUGUGUGACUUUGAGCAAACUGCUUCACCUUUCUUCCCUCAGUCUCUCCAUCCCCAAAUGGGGGUAAUAAUGGUACUGAUCUUGAGAGUUUUAUUCAUUAUCGUUAUUCGUCUGCUACCUGGAGGCUUCGUGUGGACAUCAGACCAAAAUAACGCUCUGAGACAGAAUGCUCCAGGCCCUUGAACUCAGCUGCGCCUUCUGCCUGGUGUGCCUUCCACUCUCUGGUCCAGCUGGAGCAUCUAUAUUUGUCAUUUAGGACUUACAUUUUGGUCAUCUCCUCUGUGAAGCCCUCUCAGAGUUCAGGUACCUGCCCUGAGCUCCCGCAACUCCUAUGCACACCCCUAAUUAACGCAUGUCUCCCAGAACUGGGAGGGGCCCUUUCUCUGUCCACCACCCCUUAUUCCCUAUGUUGUGUGGGCAACAAAGACCCUUAAUUUCUCUUGGGGUCCCUGCAAGACACCAGGCACAGAGGGGACUAGCUGAAAGUUUGCCAACCAAAUAACUCAAGUAGGUCCAUCUGGGAGACUAUUCCCAGGAGAAAGUCUGCCAGAACCCAGGGCUACAGCAGGGGAUGGAAGGAGGGAGGGGGAGGGGACUCAAGCAGAGACCACAUGGUCACAUGAACCCAACUGGACAGCCACAGGGGCGCUUACACCCUGGAGCCUUAUCCCCAAGACCUAGGUGUCCGUGAUCUGAGGCCUUGAGUUAAUCAAUAUUAGCUGGGCACAGUGGCUCACGCCUGUAAUCCCAGCACUUUGGGAGACUGAGGCAGGUGGAUCACUUGAGGUCAGGAGUUCAAGACCAGCCUGGCCAACAUGGCGAAAUCCCAUCUCUACUAAAAAUACAAAAAUUAGCUGGGUGUGGUGGCAGGUGCCUAUAAUCCCAGCUACUCGGGAGGCUGAGGCAGGAGAAUCGCUUGAACCUGGGAGGUGGAGGUUCUAGUGAGCUGAGGUGGCACCACUAUACUCC
This 2453-nucleotide long non-coding RNA is filed under the name Pan troglodytes (chimpanzee). Its description in RNAcentral is "long non-coding RNA NONPTRT007032". Lineage: Eukaryota; Metazoa; Chordata; Mammalia; Primates; Hominidae. The record is from RNAcentral.